This is a long non-coding RNA of Gambusia affinis (western mosquitofish), 472 nucleotides long. RefSeq lists it as uncharacterized. NCBI's taxonomy places the organism in Eukaryota, Metazoa, Chordata, Actinopteri, Cyprinodontiformes, Poeciliidae. The transcript has 3 exons. The record is from RefSeq and is a predicted model, not a curated record.
UUUUCUUGCUCAGGCCAUUAAAUCGCAGCUCAGAUACCAAAGAAAUUCCACAAUCCUUUGCGCAGCUGACAACGUCCAUCUCAGAAAGUCGUUAGGACGAAUCUAAAACAUGCUGAGUCAAUCUGUGUUGAUGUUUUCAUCUAUGGUCAUUAUCUCUGGGUAACCAAAAGAAGAAGAUGAUGGAGACAAGCAGCUGAAAUGAGUUUCCUCCACAGGGUUUCUGCGCUCUCCCUUAGGGAUAGGACAUGUCCCACUGGGAGAAGACCCAGAGGAAGACCUAAGACAUGAGGGACGAGGGAAGUCUGGACCUGUCUGCUUAAACUUCUGUCUUCACGACCCGACUUCAGAUUAGGCACAAGAUAAUGGAUGGAUGGAUAAAUUGAUUGAUGGCUUAGUUUGGCUUUUAUUUGAUGCUACACACCAUCAUCUACGUCAAUUUUCAUUCCCUUAUAUUUAUGUUGUUUGUAGGUAC